RNAcentral lists this ribosomal RNA (253 nucleotides) under uncultured bacterium. RNAcentral's name for it is "partial 16S ribosomal RNA". It matches the Rfam family "Bacterial small subunit ribosomal RNA", at positions 524 to 776 of the family's 1533-position model. The record is from RNAcentral.
UACGGAGGUGGCAGGCGUUACUCGGAUUGAUUGGGUGUAAAGGGUGUGUAGGUGGCGUACUAAGUCGAAUGUGAAAGCCCGUGGCUCAACCACGGAAUUGCAUUCGAAACUGGUAUGCUUGAGCGACUGAGAGGUAGAUGGAAUUCCCGGUGUAACAGUGAAAUGUGUAGAUAUCGGGAGGAACACCAGUGGCGAAGGCGAUCUACUGGCAGUCUGCUGACACUGAAACACGAGAGCUAGGGGAGCAAACAGG